This 250-nucleotide ribosomal RNA is filed under the name uncultured bacterium. Its description in RNAcentral is "partial 16S ribosomal RNA". It matches the Rfam family "Bacterial small subunit ribosomal RNA", at positions 524 to 773 of the family's 1533-position model. The record is from RNAcentral.
CACGUAGGAGGCGAACGUUAUCCGGAUUUACUGGGCGUAAAGCGCGUGUAGGUGGUUUGGUAAGUAGGGCGUGAAAGCUCCUGGCUCAACUGGGAGAGGCCGUUCUAAACUGCCGAACUAGAGGAUGGUAGAGGGAGGUGGAAUUCCGGGUGUAGCGGUGGAAUGCGCAGAUAUCCGGAGGAACACCAGUGGCGAAAGCGGCCUCCUGGACCAUUCCUGACACUCAGACGCGAAAGCUAGGGUAGCAAAC